This 420-nucleotide ribosomal RNA is filed under the name uncultured bacterium. RNAcentral describes it as "bacterial SSU rRNA". It matches the Rfam family "Bacterial small subunit ribosomal RNA", at positions 355 to 774 of the family's 1533-position model. The record is from RNAcentral.
UAAGGAAUAUUGCUCAAUGGGAGAAAUCCUGAAGCAGCGACGCCGCGUGGAGGAUGAAGGGUCUAUGACUUGUAAACUCCUGUAAAGAAGGAAAAAAUUCCCAUUAGAUGGGAGAUGAUGGUACUUCUGGAGUAAGCCCCGGCUAACUACGUGCCAGCAGCCGCGGUAAUACGGAGGGUGCACGCGUUAUCCGGAUUCACUGGGUUUAAAGGGUGCGUAGGUGGGCAGAUAAGUCAGUGGUGAAAUCUUCCGGCUUAACCGGGAAACUGCCGUCGAUACUAUUUGUCUUGAAUAUUGCGGAAGUAAGCGGAAUUUGUCAUGUAGCGGUGAAAUGCUUAGAUAUGACAUAGAACACCAAUUGCGAAGGCAGCUUACUACACAAUCAUUGACACUGGGGCACGAAAGCGUGGGUAGCGAACA